ACAAGCGAGCGGCGGACGGGUGAGUAACACGUGGGUAACCUGCCCAAGAGACUGGGAUAACACCUGGAAACAGAUGCUAAUACCGGAUAACGACACUAGACGCAUGUCUAGAGUUUGAAAGAUGGUUCUGCUAUCACUCUUGGAUGGACCUGCGGUGCAUUAGCUAGUUGGUAAGGUAACGGCUUACCAAGGCAAUGAUGCAUAGCCGAGUUGAGAGACUGAUCGGCCACAUUGGGACUGAGACACGGCCCAAACUCCUACGGGAGGCAGCAGUAGGGAAUCUUCCACAAUGGACGAAAGUCUGAUGGAGCAACGCCGCGUGAGUGAAGAAGGGUUUCGGCUCGUAAAGCUCUGUUGGUAGUGAAGAAAGAUAGAGGUAGUAACUGGCCUUUAUUUGACGGUAAUUACUUAGAAAGUCACGGCUAACUACGUGCCAGCAGCCGCGGUAAUACGUAGGUGGCAAGCGUUGUCCGGAUUUAUUGGGCGUAAAGCGAGUGCAGGCGGUUCAAUAAGUCUGAUGUGAAAGCCUUCGGCUCAACCGGAGAAUUGCAUCAGAAACUGUUGAACUUGAGUGCAGAAGAGGAGAGUGGAACUCCAUGUGUAGCGGUGGAAUGCGUAGAUAUAUGGAAGAACACCAGUGGCGAAUGCGGCUCUCUGG
Molecule: ribosomal RNA, 658 nt
Filed under: uncultured bacterium
Lineage: Bacteria
Description: bacterial SSU rRNA
Rfam family: Bacterial small subunit ribosomal RNA
Source: RNAcentral